RNA transcript from Myxocyprinus asiaticus (Chinese sucker), 5374 nucleotides. It is a transcript of the gene named T-cell activation inhibitor, mitochondrial-like, with no coding region annotated. The transcript is spliced from 13 exons. NCBI's taxonomy places the organism in Eukaryota, Metazoa, Chordata, Actinopteri, Cypriniformes, Catostomidae. The record is from RefSeq and is a predicted model, not a curated record.
AGUCGAUUUGUUCUGUCUGGAUUAUAUGGCCUUAAUGGGGUGCACGAGUUAACAUUGAGUUUUAACCACAGCAAACAUGGAGCAUAAUCACAGCAGCUAACGUGAUGUGUGUGACCUACUUCCUGCGUUAUAUGAGGCUUGGUGGUAGAUGUGUUUCUGCUUUGAUCGUUCAGAGGAGGAAUCUCUCAGGAGCGGAUGCCAUUAAUGCCCUGCGGCCCUUUUAUUUUGCAGUGCACCCUGAUUUCUUUGGCCAGCAUCCAAGAGAGAGAGAAGUAAAUGAAAACUCCCUCAAAAGACUAAAUGGUUAUCUGGAAAAUCUUCAGAAGCCUGGGGCGAGGUCCCCCAAACCAACAAACCUCACGUUUUAUGUCAGGGACACAAAGGAAAGAACUGACUCUGAUGACAGUCUGCUUGUCUCAAGAUUUCGCUCUGUGAGUUUCACUCUGCAGUCUAGGGAUGUUCUGAGCACAGUGCUGGAUGUUCUGAAGUCCUGUCAUCUCUCAGAUGAGCAUAUGCAGGAUCUGCUCAAAGCUGAAACCAGAAAGAACUCAACACCACAGUCUGGAAACAUACCUUUUUAUCGGCCCAUCAAAUGGGACAAAACUUACUACACUUUUACAGGGUUUAGAGACCCAGAGCAGGAGUUAGAACAAGCCAGCAAAGUGGAGCCCACACUCAGCUGCGUGUUGCCUAUACAGCUGGAGUUCCUCUUUCUGCCCCCUGCUGAAAACAGUUUAUGGCUAAGGAACAAUGAGCCAGAGGCCACAAAGAAACAGAACGCCAGUCUGCCACGGCGUGAGGAGCAGAAGAGACUGAAAAGAGAGCUGAUUCAGAAACUGGGCCUGCUGGAUAUCAGGUGGCAGCGCAAAUGGGGAGUCGCACACAAAUGCUGCCAGCUGCAGAGCUUGAGUCGUCUCUCCGCACAAAGCCCUGAAGUUCUGCACAACCUGAGAGGACAUAUAAUAGUUUUUACUGACCAAUCAGGGAUGAAUGCCUCAGGUCAUGUGAUGUUAGGAACAAUGGAUGUCCACCACCAGUGGACAAAGCUCUUUGAAAGAUUACCCAGUUACCGCAGUCUGUUCCAGCAGUCGGACUGGCUGAAGGAGCGCAUCAGUCACCUGUUGGGUGGGAUUCAAGUGAUCCAUAUCGAGUGGUUGGGCCCCGCUCUGCCCCUGGAGGAACACUACAGUACCCUUAACACCUUCCACAAGAGGCUGUUGCCCCAGCGCCUCUCGCUGCAUCCCCGCAGUCUGCAUGGCCUCACCAUGACACUGGAGAAUGAUCGCUCCACCCCCUGCCUGCAUGAGAUGGGGCACUUCAUCAUCCCCACCAAGUGUGAUACCCUCCUGCUGCAGAACUUCCUCCAGAGUCAGGCCAAGGAGGCCCGGAGGCGCAUCCAACACAAAGACCAGGAAGAAAGAAUGUCAAACAGGUUCCCAUUCAGUCUGUUCACUUGGUAAAGCACACUGAGUAUGGGAAAUCGCGCUCUCACAUACUCUACUGAAGACGCCUCUAUUCACGCCUGAAAGGCCACUGACACAAGGCAACACCAGGUAGCCCUACCCACCUGGCUGGUAUACAAAUACCGUCGCCUGUGUCAUCCCGUCAUUCUUCAGCUCUUCACCUCACUGAAAGAACACCUCACGCUCGUUGUGGUUAAGCCCAAGCACGUCUACCCAGAGCAAUAACAUUCACGCAUUUCACAGCAAUGCAUCCCUUCAGUUGAACUGUCCUACUGGUUGUGAGUUUAUGCUCCCUCCUCUGGGCGCUGUUUGUAGAAGUCUUUGCAAGAAGAAAAUGAAAUAUGUUGGUGGUGCAUAGUCAACAGUCCAUGCCGAAUUGGCCCUUUCUUGCUCGAGGCAUAUAAGCGUGUUGUCACCGGCCUCGAUGCUCGAGUCUUGAACGGCAUGUGAUUUUGUGGAGAGAACACUCAGUGCCCAGAAUAUACGCUGCAUAGGGAUAAUUUGUGGGGGCCAAUCCCACCCCAGAUAUAUUUAUUUAUCAGAAUUGUGUUCGCCAGGUAAAAGGUUUAGCAGUGCUAACAGUUUGCAGUGAACCCAUUCUGCCCGCUUGUUCACAAAAGGGCACAUCGCCCUUGACAUGCUCUUCUGCCUGGGAAGCGCGUUGACUUGGUCUCUAAGUGACGGCAUGUGGCAGCCUAUCGCAAGUGUCUCACUGUGAGUUUCCUCAGUUUGAGCACCACUCAAACUUUUCAAGGGGUUGUGAUGCCAGCUGUUGUGAAAGUGUGCUAAGAGAAGAGUCUCUUGGUCUUCCAGUCUCGGAAUGUGCUAUUUUAUGCCUGUUAUUUUCUUGCUCUAGAGAAAGAUGGGAGAUUGCGUCUUAUGGACAUGAGAAAGUUGAAUGAAAAAACACCUGCAAGUGUAAAAGUUCACAAAAUUCACACACUUCAGGUGCCACUCUGUGCGGUUCCCCACUAUGGGUUCAUGUCAGUCAAACAGACGCUUCCCUUCAUAUAGCAAUAUUACCCUGGUCAUACCUGAGGUUUGCUUUGUAAGGAAUAGGAUAUGGAUUUUCAUAUCCUCCCGUUCUGUCACUGUCACCUUGCAUAUUUAUAAAUUGUGUAAGGUGGUAUUAACACAGCCUUACCGGGGUGUGCAAAAUUGAGCAUACAGGCUUUGAGGGAGCAGGUUUUUCCUCAGAUGAAUGCCUUGAUUCACCUCACACAGCUCUGGGAUUCUGUUUAAAUCUCAAAAAAAGCAUUUUAUUCUCUUGCCAGUGAAUAACAUUUCUUGGCAUUGAGCUCGAGCCCAUAGGCAACAAAGCUUAUCUGUCACAGCAUAUAAGAUAUAUGACAUGAUUUCACCUUGCCACCUCACACAUUUUCCAAAUGUGUUGAGACAAAUAUUAACACUGAUGGGUAGUCAGAGUGUGCAAAUUAUAGUAUAGAUUAUACUCUCAGAGAAUGAAGAGCAGGCUUCUGUGCCUUGGUUCAACUCUUACAGGCUCAGGAAAAAAAAAAGAGAGCAUUCUCCCUCGUAAAUGAAUAACAUUUCUAAAAUUUCACAACAAGCCAUGUGAUAAGAUGUGUGGAUUGACGGUCUCGGACGCAUCUGAGAUUCAUCCUCUGCCACCCGGAUAGAGGCGAGUCACUACGCCACCACGAGGACUUAGAGCGCACUGGGAAUUGGGCAUUCCAAAUUGGGGAGAAAAAGGGGAGAAAAAAAAAAGCUUAUCUGUCAUGACAGAGAGUGGUUGUGUUUCUUUAUUCAUAUCAUAAAAAGGCAAUAGCCUAUGUAAUGGUUUGACCAUGUCACCUCGCACAUUUCCCAGAUGUGUAAAGGUGUAUCUUGUCUGUCAUGCAAAUCAUAUAUGGUAUCAUUUAUCUGUGAUAGAUCUAGUGUUGCUAUGGCAUGAUAUAUUAAUAUCUACAGUAUGAUACCAUCUGUGUAUUAUGAUACCAUUCGUGUUGUUUGGAUGCAUUGUGUGGGUGCACAGGACACAAGACACGAGCCUUAUGUUGUACUGGUGCCGAUGCAGUCUGAGCAGCAAGCGACUCCGAGUACCACAUGCUUGUGGGAAUGUUAACUACUGUAUAUACAGCAGUUAUUAUGGUGUCACCGUAGUCACAGUUCUACCGUUUGGAAAUUAAUGUGGCACCACCAGUAUUCUGGAGCUUGAGUGUGCCGGUUGUUCUUUAGUAUUGGUAUACCACGCAACACUACUGGGUCAUGUUCAGUGUGCGUUCCCCGCCACUUCCGCUGAGCCCAUGGUGGAACCCCCCACUGAUCUAUAAUAUAUAUAUAUAUAUAUAUAUAUAUAUAUAUAUAUAUAUAUAUAUAUAUAUAUAUAUAGGUAGGUAGGUAGGUAGAUAGGUAGAUAGAUAGAACUCCUCCUGCUCAUGUGAGGAAUCCCGAUGUACAUGUCAUCACUGAGAAAGUAGUCCUUGUGGAAGGGAGUUUUCCAUGAGAGGGCCAUACAUGAUCAACCAUACAGGUUCAAUUCCACUUCAGAUUUUGAGAAUUACUGGCCAUUUUCAAUCGUUUCGCUUCAUACUGAGCGAAGCAAACAUGAUCUGGUCAGAUCAAAUAUGUGACAUCUGUGUGACACAAACAAGCAAAGGAAUGCGAUUAAUGCGAAUAAUCAGGCAAUUACAGUUGUCAUACCAGUUUCUGAUGUGGUUCAGUGAGCAUCUGUUAUCGCUUUGACUGACUGACCGACAAAAAAAAAAAAAAAAAUCUGGGAAAGCAGAUCUGGGAUCGGUUUGGCGAGGCCAACGCACCUUUUUAAUAUGAGAGCUGUGUGUCACACUACCCAGAUCUUACUCAAACAUUGGAAAACCUGUGGACAGAGCACGGUGAUGGACUGCCAUUCAGCGCUGUUACUGUUCACAGUGUUAAAGCCCUUUGUAGUCUUUGUACUUAGCGUGCCAUUGUCCUCAGUGGUGCACUGUGCCAUAUUAGUGCCAGUUUGUGCAUAUAUUCAGAUAUUCUAACGGGAGUUGUUUGAUCAUCGUCACCCUUUCUCGACUCUGAAAACCUAGUGACGGUCUAGUGAUGAUUUCAUCAUGUCAUGAAGGGAUCAACGACGCUUCCCGUGGUGCGCUCCUUUUAAUUCAGUUCCCAAAAGAUGUUCAGUGCCUGAGACCAACUUUAAUGUUGAGCAUGCCUCCUUGGGAUUUUUCAGGGGCUGUGCUUCAUGUCCAUCCUUUUUUGAGCCUUUGAAUCUGCCUAUUCUAAAGUUUUUAUUGUGCAAAGGCUGCACUUCACUUUUGUGUCAACAAGUCAACGAUUUAUUUUACAUGUAGAUGUGCACUUUCACUGCAAUAAAUGUGUGCCAAGCUAUGACAGAGAGAUUUGCCCCAGUGUGGCGUACAUUCCUCAAAUCAUGCACACGUCCUUUUCGCCUACGAACAGCAGUCUAUUUCAGUUUGUCUGUUUUGCCAACCUAAACUGGUGUUAUAGUUCUGCAUAAGCAACGUUUUUCGCAUCGGAUGCUGCCUGCUGCGACCUCUUCGCAUUUUACAGCAAGGCUGUUGGUUGAGGUAGUGCACGUGCACUUAACACUCAACUCAUUGAACUCUUGCCAUGGAGUUUAAGGAGUUUCUACCCAGUAUGUUUUUGCUAUGGUCGGUUGGGCUUCACCACACAUCUUGGACGAUUUUGGAUUGUCUGGACGUUACUGCACCUUCAGUGGCACAGUGCGUCUUCUUGAUUGGUGAGAGUGCUGACAUACAGAGGCUUGCAUGUAUCGGAAGCAACAUUCACCCCUGUUGGAAGCAGAGGAGGAGGACAUAAUUUCGAGUUGUCUGCAGGAUUUGUCUCUGCGCAGCCUAUCUAAAGAGCCCAGUGUGUCGAGCAGUCAGAUGAUCCCCUGCUGUAGACGUCUGAUGGUGGAGAGAUCGCAGCAGAUGCAG